This 443-nucleotide ribosomal RNA is filed under the name uncultured soil bacterium. Its description in RNAcentral is "bacterial SSU rRNA". It matches the Rfam family "Bacterial small subunit ribosomal RNA", at positions 26 to 518 of the family's 1533-position model. The record is from RNAcentral.
AGAACGAACGCUGGCGGCAGGCUUAACACAUGCAAGUCGAACGCUCCGCAAGGAGAGUGGCAGACGGGUGAGUAACGCGUGGGAAUCUACCUAAUUCUACGGAACAACAGUUGGAAACGACUGCUAAUACCGUAUACGCCCUACGGGGGAAAGAUUUAUCGGAAUUAGAUGAGCCCGCGUAAGAUUAGCUAGUUGGUGGGGUAAUGGCCUACCAAGGCGACGAUCUUUAGCUGGUCUGAGAGGAUGAUCAGCCACACUGGGACUGAGACACGGCCCAGACUCCUACGGGAGGCAGCAGUGGGGAAUAUUGGACAAUGGGCGCAAGCCUGAUCCAGCCAUGCCGCGUGAGUGAUGAAGGCCUUAGGGUGUAAAGCUCUUUCAGUGGGGAAGAGUAAUGACGGUACCACAGAAGAAGCCCGGCUAACUUCGUGCCGAGCAGCCGC